GAUGAACGCUGGCGGCGUGCCUAAUACAUGCAAGUCGAGCGAACAGACGAGGAGCUUGCUCCUCUGACGUUAGCGGCGGACGGGUGAGUAACACGUGGAUAACCUACCUAUAAGACUGGGAUAACUUCGGGAAACCGGAGCUAAUACCGGAUAAUAUAUUGAACCGCAUGGUUCAAUAGUGAAAGACGGUUUUGCUGUCACUUAUAGCUGGAUCCGCGCCGCAUUAGCUAGUUGGUAAGGUAACGGCUUAUCAAGGCGACGAUGCGUAGCCGACCUGAGAGAGUGAUCGGCCACACUGGAACUGAGACACGGACCAGACUCCUACGGGAGGCAGCAGUAGGGAAUCGUCCGCAAUGGGCGAAAGCCUGACGGAGCAACGCCGCGUGAGUGAUGAAGGUCUUCGGAGCGUAAAACUCUGUUAUUAGGGAAGAACAAAUGUGUAAGUAACUAUGCACGUCUUGACGGUACCUAAUCAGAAAGCCACGGCUAACUACGUG
This 497-nucleotide ribosomal RNA is filed under the name uncultured bacterium. RNAcentral's name for it is "partial 16S ribosomal RNA". It matches the Rfam family "Bacterial small subunit ribosomal RNA", at positions 28 to 507 of the family's 1533-position model. The record is from RNAcentral.